GUGGGGAAUAUUGCACAAUGGGCGAAAGCCUGAUGCAGCAACGCCGCGUGAGGGACGACGGCCUUCGGGUUGUAAACCUCUUUUAGUAGGGAAGAAGCGAAAGUGACGGUACCUGCAGAAAAAGCACCGGCUAACUACGUGCCAGCAGCCGCGGUAAUACGUAGGGUGCAAGCGUUAUCCGGAAUUAUUGGGCGUAAAGAGCUCGUAGGCGGUCUGUCGCGUCUGCUGUGAAAACUGGGGGCUCAACCUCCAGCCUGCAGUGGGUACGGGCAGACUAGAGUGCGGUAGGGGAGAUUGGAAUUCCUGGUGUAGCGGUGGAAUGCGCAGAUAUCAGGAGGAACACCGAUGGCGAAGGCAGAUCUCUGGGCCGUAACUGACGCUGAGGAGCGAAAGCGUGGGGAGCGAACAGGAUUAGAUACCCUAGUAGUCC
Molecule: ribosomal RNA, 430 nt
Filed under: uncultured bacterium
Lineage: Bacteria
Description: partial 16S ribosomal RNA
Rfam family: Bacterial small subunit ribosomal RNA
Source: RNAcentral